UGCCAGCAGCCGCGGUAAUACGUAAGUGGCAAGCGUUAUCCGGAAUUACUGGGCGUAAAGGACACGUAGGCGGUCUGCCAAGUUGGGGGUGAAAUCUCAGGGCCCAACCCUGAGCCUGCCUUCAAAACUGGUGAACUAGAGUGUUGGAGGGGAGAGCGGUAUUCCAGGUGUAGCGGUGAAAUGCGUAGAUAUCUGGGAGAACACCGAUGGCGAAAGCAGCUCUCUGGCCAAUGUCUGACGCUAAUGUGUGAAAGCGUGGGUAGCGAACAGGAUUAGAUA
Molecule: ribosomal RNA, 279 nt
Filed under: uncultured bacterium
Lineage: Bacteria
Description: partial 16S ribosomal RNA
Rfam family: Bacterial small subunit ribosomal RNA
Source: RNAcentral